RNAcentral lists this ribosomal RNA (476 nucleotides) under uncultured bacterium. RNAcentral describes it as "bacterial SSU rRNA". It matches the Rfam family "Bacterial small subunit ribosomal RNA", at positions 11 to 472 of the family's 1533-position model. The record is from RNAcentral.
GUUUGAUCAUGGCUCAGAAUCAACGCUGGCGGCGUGCCUAACACAUGCAAGUCGAACGCGAAAGUGGAGCAAUCCAUGAGUAGAGUGGCAAACGGGUGAGUAACGCGUGGGCGACCUACCUCAGAGUGGGGGAUAACCUUCCGAAAGGAGGGCUAAUACCGCAUGACAUACCGUGUUUGGAUACACGGAUAUCAAAGCCGGGGAUCGCAAGACCUGGCGCUUGGAGGGGGGCCCGCGUCCGAUUAGCUAGUUGGUGAGGUAACGGCUCACCAAGGCUCCGAUCGGUAUCCGGCCUGAGAGGGCGGACGGACACACUGGAACUGAGACACGGUCCAGACUCCUACGGGAGGCAGCAGUGGGGAGUUGUUCGCAAUGGGCGCNAGCCUGACGACGCNACGCCGCGUGGAGGAUGAAGACUUUCGGGUCGUAAACUCCUUUCGACCGAGAUGAAUUUCCCACGAACUAACACGUCGUGG